Molecule: ribosomal RNA, 463 nt
Filed under: uncultured bacterium
Lineage: Bacteria
Description: partial 16S ribosomal RNA
Rfam family: Bacterial small subunit ribosomal RNA
Source: RNAcentral
GAUGAACGCUGACAGAAUGCUUAACACAUGCAAGUCGAUGGGGAAGUGGUGCUUGCACCAUGGUAACCAUGGCGGACGGGUGAGUAACGCGUAAGGAACUUGCCUGCGGGACUGGGAUAACAGCAGGAAACUGCUGAUAAUACCGGAUAAGGUCAUUAAGCUGCAUAGCUUAGUGAUGAAAGGAGACGCCUGCGGAGAGCCUUGCGUCCUAUUAGCUAGUUGGAGGGGUAACGGCCCACCAAGGCGAAGAUAGGUAGCCGGCCUGAGAGGGUGGACGGCCACAAGGGGACUGAGAUACGGCCCUUACUCCUACGGGAGGCGGCAGUGGGGAAUAUUGGACAAUGGGGGCAACCCUGAUCCAGCAAUUCUGUGUGCACGAAGACGGUUUUCGGAGUGUAAAGUGCUUUCAGCAGGGAAGAAGGAAGUGACGGUACCUGCAGAAGAAGCGACGGCUAAAUACGUG